GGUCGGGCCCUGUGCGACGGGCGUCCGGGAAUCAGGUCAGGCCAGGAAUGGAGCAGCCUUCAACGGUGCCGCUCGUGUGCCGCAGGCAACCUGGCCGUC
RNAcentral lists this signal recognition particle RNA (99 nucleotides) under Actinomycetota bacterium. RNAcentral's name for it is "Actinobacteria bacterium signal recognition particle sRNA small type". It matches the Rfam family "Bacterial small signal recognition particle RNA". From Rfam's summary of the family: The signal recognition particle (SRP) is a universally conserved ribonucleoprotein involved in the co-translational targeting of proteins to membranes. Archaeal SRP consists of a 7S RNA and homologues of the eukaryotic SRP19 and SRP54 proteins. In most bacteria, the SRP consists of a 4.5S RNA and the Ffh protein (a homologue of the eukaryotic SRP54 protein). The record is from RNAcentral. Lineage: Bacteria; Bacillati; Actinomycetota.